RNAcentral lists this long non-coding RNA (1172 nucleotides) under Fragaria vesca (wild strawberry). RNAcentral's name for it is "long non-coding RNA (FVES_LNC004755)". Lineage: Eukaryota; Viridiplantae; Streptophyta; Magnoliopsida; Rosales; Rosaceae. The record is from RNAcentral.
GACUUCCCCUUGUAUGGAUUCUUGUGCGAUGCAGCAACGUGAAUGCUCUCUUGCUGUAUGACGGCUUAGCUUCGUUUUGGUAUUAGGGUUCUGUCUUAAGUAGUCUCCAAGUCUCCAAAGCUUCCUUUUCAGACCAUGUUUCCUUCUUUGACUAGAAUCAAUGUUUGGGCCAGCUUUUGAAUGUCUUCCACAUAUAAUCUGGACUUGGCUUUUGGGAAAAUUAUAUUAAUGAUGUCACUCUUCAAAAUCGUGCAAAAAACCCCCAAGAAAGCUUCUCAAAAUCCAGCCCAAACACUGCCUCGAACUUGACUGCUGCACAGCUUUCCCGGAACUGCUGAUUUUCUGUCCAACUUUGGAGCUUCAUAACUCCCAGAUGAAAUCACCGAUUUGGAUGAUUCUUGAGUCCAAAUUGAUCUACAAAUGCUCCUCUACAAAUCUGGGCAGUCAUCUUGGUGAAACCGUUCUCGAAACCGCAUGGAAAUUAGCCUUAAAAACCGGAGAAAAUAAGCAGAACCCAUUUUUCAGCUUUUUUGUGUUUGCAGCUUCUGUUUUGGUGAAGUGGUUCCAUCGCCUUUCCUUGAUAUUUUUGACCAUAUGAGUAAUCAAUCUCCAUCAAUGACAUCUCUACUUCGUAUUGGAAGCCUUGCUUGUAUCACUUGAGCACAUAUUUGCAUUAUCUUGCUCCACGAAGUACCUAAGAAGAUAACAAAGUUAAAACAAUCUUUUUAAAGGAAAAUAGCCAAGUUAAAUGCAAAGGUUAAACUAUAAAAUUGUCGCAUUUUAUGCUCCUAUCAAAUUCCCCCACACUUAGCUUUUGCUAGUGUCACAUCCCGACCCUUAUAUUUUUACCUUAUUUACUAGCGUGAUUAUAAUAAGAAUUUUACCGUCUCGAUCAUUGAGUAAAUAGUUUAAUUGGUCCCUAGAGGGGUUUCGGGGACGAUUAUGUGCGGAGGAUUAUUCGUAUGAGGAAAAUACAACGACGGUAAAAAUAGUAAAUUUUAGCUAGAAAAAGGUAAUUUUUAUUCGGGUAUUAUUUUCGGGGUGUUUUAUUUUGGAAGUUUGGGUAAUAAAUGGUGUGGACCGGUUUGGGGUGUGAGGCCCAAAACCCUUUUGCUUUUCUCUCUCCCUCCCUCCCGAUUUUUCUUCUCCUCCCACCCGAUUUUCUUCUCUCU